AGAGUUUGAUCCUGGCUCAGGAUGAACGCUAGCGGUAGGCUUAACACAUGCAAGUCGAGGGGUAACAGGAGAGCUUGCUCUCGCUGACGACCGGCGCACGGGUGAGUAACACGUAUGCAACCUGCCUUUAACUGGAGCAUAGCUCCGAGAAAUCGGAAUUAAUACUCCAUAAUAUCUAUUUAUCGCAUGGUAUUUAGAUUAAAGCUUCGGCGGUUAAAGAUGGGCAUGCGGGACGUUAGCUUGUUGGUGAGGUAACGGCUCACCAAGGCAACGAUGUCUAUGGGGUCUUAAAGGAUGGUCCCACACACUGGUACUGAGACACGGACCAGACUCCUACGGGAGGCAGCAGUGAGGAAUAUUGGGCAAUGGGCGAAAGCCUGACCCAGCCAUACCGCGUGCAGGAUGACGGCCCUAUGGGUUGUAAACUGCUUUUGUACGGGAAGAAAAAACUCUACGUGUAGAGAACUGACGGUACCGUACGAAUAAGGAUCGGCUAACUCCGUGCCAGCAGCCGCGGUAAUACGGAGGAUCCAGGCGUUAUCCGGAUUUAUUAGGUUUAAAGGGUACGUAGGCGGAAGAAUAAGUCAGUGGUGAAAUCCUGCAGCUCAACUGUAGAACUGCCAUUGAAACUAUUUUUCUUGAGUAUAGUUGAGGUGGGCGGAAUGUGUCAUGUAGCGGUGAAAUGCUUAGAUAUGACACAGAACACCGAUUGCGUAGGCAGCUCACUAAACUAUCACUGACGCUGAGGUACGAAAGCGUGGGGAGCGAACAGGAUUAGAUACCCUGGUAGUCCACGCUGUAAACGAUGAUUACUCGUUGUGUGCGAUAUACAGUACGCGACUGAACGAAAGUAUUAAGUAAUCCACCUGGGGAGUACGUCGGCAACGAUGAAACUCAAAGGAAUUGACGGGGGCCCGCACAAGCGGAGGAACAUGUGGUUUAAUUCGAUGAUACGCGAGGAACCUUACCUGGACUUAAAUGCAAAACGAUCGGCGCCGAAAGGUGCUUUCCCUUCGGGGCGAAUUGCAAGGUGCUGCAUGGUUGUCGUCAGCUCGUGCCGUGAGGUGUCGGGUUAAGUCCCAUAACGAGCGCAACCCCUAUUGUUAGUUGCUAACAGAUAAUGCUGAGGACUCUAACGAAACUGCCGGUGUAAACCGUGAGGAAGGUGGGGAUGACGUCAAAUCAGCACGGCCCUUACGUCCAGGGCUACACACGUGUUACAAUGGUCGAUACAGUGGGCAGCUACUUGGCAACAAGAUGCUAAUCUCCAAAGUCGGUCUCAGUUCGGAUCGAAGUCUGCAACUCGACUUCGUGAAGUUGGAUUCGCUAGUAAUCGUAUAUCAGCAAUGAUACGGUGGAUACGUUCCCGGGCCUUGUACACACCGCCCGUCAAGCCAUGG
Molecule: ribosomal RNA, 1400 nt
Filed under: metagenome
Description: bacterial SSU rRNA
Rfam family: Bacterial small subunit ribosomal RNA
Source: RNAcentral